Molecule: non-coding RNA, 54 nt
Organism: Salmo salar (Atlantic salmon)
Lineage: Eukaryota; Metazoa; Chordata; Actinopteri; Salmoniformes; Salmonidae
Source: Rfam
AAUGCACCAAUUUGUAUUUCGCUCUGGAUAAGAGCGUCUGCUAAAUGACUUAAA